AAAUUGAAGAGUUUGAUCAUGGCUCAGAUUGAACGCUGGCGGCAGGCCUAACACAUGCAAGUCGAACGGUAACAGGAAACAGCUUGCUGUUUCGCUGACGAGUGGCGGACGGGUGAGUAAUGUCUGGGAAACUGCCUGAUGGAGGGGGAUAACUACUGGAAACGGUAGCUAAUACCGCAUAAUGUCGCAAGACCAAAGAGGGGGACCUUCGGGCCUCUUGCCAUCGGAUGUGCCCAGAUGGGAUUAGCUAGUAGGUGGGGUAACGGCUCACC
This 272-nucleotide ribosomal RNA is filed under the name Escherichia coli. Its description in RNAcentral is "partial 16S ribosomal RNA". It matches the Rfam family "Bacterial small subunit ribosomal RNA", at positions 1 to 269 of the family's 1533-position model. Lineage: Bacteria; Pseudomonadati; Pseudomonadota; Gammaproteobacteria; Enterobacterales; Enterobacteriaceae. The record is from RNAcentral.